CUACGGGAGGCAGCAGUCGGGAAUUUUGCGCAAUGGGCGAAAGCCUGACGCAGCAACGCCGCGUGAGGGAUGAAGGCCUUCGGGUUGUAAACCUCUUUUCUCAGGGACGAUGAUGACGGUACCUGAGGAAGAAGCCACGGCUAACUACGUGCCAGCAGCCGCGGUAAUACGUAGGUGGCGAGCGUUGUCCGGAUUUACUGGGCGUAAAGAGCGCGCAGGCGGUCGUACGAGUCGCGUGUGAAAGCCCCCGGCUCAACUGGGGAGGGUCACGCGAUACUGUUCGACUCGAAGGCAGGAGAGGGAAGCGGAAUUCCCGGUGUAGUGGUGAAAUGCGUAGAUAUCGGGAGGAACACCAGUGGCGAAGGCGGCUUCCUGGCCUGUUCUUGACGCUGAGGCGCGAAAGCUAGGGUAGCAAACGGGAUUAGAUACCCUGGU
This 435-nucleotide ribosomal RNA is filed under the name uncultured bacterium. RNAcentral describes it as "bacterial SSU rRNA". It matches the Rfam family "Bacterial small subunit ribosomal RNA", at positions 339 to 791 of the family's 1533-position model. The record is from RNAcentral.